RNAcentral lists this RNase P RNA (310 nucleotides) under Methanothermobacter thermautotrophicus. RNAcentral's name for it is "partial RNase P RNA". It matches the Rfam family "Archaeal RNase P". From Rfam's summary of the family: Ribonuclease P (RNase P) is a ubiquitous endoribonuclease, found in archaea, bacteria and eukarya as well as chloroplasts and mitochondria. Its best characterised activity is the generation of mature 5'-ends of tRNAs by cleaving the 5'-leader elements of precursor-tRNAs. Cellular RNase Ps are ribonucleoproteins. The record is from RNAcentral. Lineage: Archaea; Methanobacteriati; Methanobacteriota; Methanobacteria; Methanobacteriales; Methanobacteriaceae.
ACCGGGCAAGCCGAAGGGCAGCUGACGGCCCAUUUUUGGGCUGAGGAAACUCCACCCAUCAUACAGAACCGCGGUGCCGUGAGGCAUCAGCUGAGAGGCUGGACCCUGGAGCAGAAACGACACGUCUUCUGGUGGAUGAUAAUGAAGCUUCACCCUUAAAGGAGCAGACUGACACCAGGAGGACCGGUGAAACGGCCAUUCCGCGGGAUGCAAGGACAAAUACUGCCUGUGAUUACUGUAGGAGGCAGAGGUAGUCCGCCGAGAUGAAUGCUGCCGAAACAGAAGGUGGGUUACUCUCGGCAUGCCCGGU